ACUCCUACGGGAGGCAGCAGUAGGGAAUCUUCCACAAUGGGCGCAAGCCUGAUGGAGCAACACCGCGUGAGUGAAGAAGGGUUUCGGCUCGUAAAGCUCUGUUGUUAAAGAAGAACACGUAUGAGAGUAACUGUUCAUACGUUGACGGUAUUUAACCAGAAAGUCACGGCUAACUACGUGCCAGCAGCCGCGGUAAUACGUAGGUGGCAAGCGUUAUCCGGAUUUAUUGGGCGUAAAAAGAGUGCAGGCGGUUUUCUAAGUCUGAUGUGAAAGCCUUCGGCUUAACCGGAGAAGUGCAUCGGAAACUGGAUAACUUGAGUGCAGAAGAGGGUAGUGGAACUCCAUGUGUAGCGGUGGAAUGCGUAGAUAUAUGGAAGAACACCAGUGGCGAAGGCGGCUACCUGGUCUGCAACUGACGCUGAGACUCGAAAGCAU
This 435-nucleotide ribosomal RNA is filed under the name uncultured bacterium. RNAcentral's name for it is "bacterial SSU rRNA". It matches the Rfam family "Bacterial small subunit ribosomal RNA", at positions 335 to 762 of the family's 1533-position model. The record is from RNAcentral.